UUUUUAAUGUUCUUGACUUUAAACUAAAUAAAAUGAACAAUUAAAGUUUUAUGUUAAUUGAAUAUUUGAAUAAAUGAUUACAAAUAAAUAACAAUUUUGUUUAUAAUGUAUGAGUAUAAUAUUUUGGGUAAGAAAGGCACUGUCUUUAUUUUGCGCCACAUUAUUUCUUUUUUAAUGUUCUUGACAUUAAACUAAUUAAAGUGAACAAUUAAGGUUUUAAUUUAAUUUAAUAUUUGAAUAAAUGA
This 245-nucleotide long non-coding RNA is filed under the name Manihot esculenta (cassava). Its description in RNAcentral is "long non-coding RNA (MESC_LNC012541)". Lineage: Eukaryota; Viridiplantae; Streptophyta; Magnoliopsida; Malpighiales; Euphorbiaceae. The record is from RNAcentral.